CGACAGGCUUAACACAUGCAAGUCGAGGGGCAGCGGGGGUGCAGGCUUGCCUGCACCUGCCGGCGACCGGCGCACGGGUGAGUAACACGUAUGGAACCUGCCCGCCACAGGGGGAUAACCCGGGGAAACCCGGCCUAAUACCCCAUGCCGCCCGGACCGGGCAUCCGGACCGGGCGAAAGGAGGAAUCCGGUGGCGGCUGGGCAUGCGGCGCAUUAGCUUGACGGCGGGGUAACGGCCCACCGUGGCGACGAUGCGUAGGGGUUCUGAGAGGAAGGCCCCCCACACUGGAACUGAGACACGGUCCAGACUCCUACGGGAGGCAGCAGUGAGGAAUAUUGGUCAAUGGGCGGAAGCCUGAACCAGCCAAGUCGCGUGAGGGAAUAAGGCCCUACGGGUCGUAAACCUCUUUUGCCGGGGAGCAAGGGCGGGGACGUGUCCCGGCCCGGAGAGUACCCGGAGAAAAAGCAUCGGCUAACUCCGUGCCAGCAGCCGCGGUAAUACGGAGGAUGCGAGCGUUAUCCGGAUUUAUUGGGUUUAAAGGGUGCGUAGGCGGGCUUUUAAGUCAGCGGUAAAAAUUCGGGGCUCAACCCCGUCCGGCCGUUGAAACUGGGGGCCUUGAGUGGGCGAGAAGAAGGCGGAAUGCGUGGUGUAGCGGUGAAAUGCAUAGAUAUCACGCAGAACCCCGAUUGCGAAGGCAGCCUUCCGGCGCCCUACUGACGCUGAGGCACGAAAGUGCGGGGAUCGAACAGGAUUAGAUACCCUGGUAGUCCGCACAGUAAACGAUGGAUGCCAGCUGUCCGGGCCGAAUGGGGCCUGGGUGGCAAAGCGAAAGCGUUAAGCAUCCCACCUGGGGAGUACGCCGGCAACGGUGAAACUCAAAGGAAUUGACGGGGGCCCGCACAAGCGGAGGAACAUGUGGUUUAAUUCGAUGAUACGCGAGGAACCUUACCCGGGCUCAAACGCGUCAGGGAUCCCCUCUGAAAGGAGGGGAGUCAGCAAUGACCUGGCGCGAGGUGCUGCAUGGUUGUCGUCAGCUCGUGCCGUGAGGUGUCGGCUUAAGUGCCAUAACGAGCGCAACCCCUACCGACAGUUGCUAACUGGUGAAGCAGAGGACUCUGUCGGGACUGCCGGCGCAAGCUGCGAGGAAGGCGGGGAUGAUGUCAAAUCAGCACGGCCCUUACGUCCGGGGCGACACACGUGUUACAAUGGCAGGUACAGCGGGAAGCCACCGGGCGACCGGGCGCGGAACCCGAAAACCUGUCUCAGUUCGGAUCGGAGUCUGCAACCCGACUCCGUGAAGCUGGAUUCGCUAGUAAUCACGCAUCAGCCACGGCGCGGUGAAUACGUUCCCG
This 1353-nucleotide ribosomal RNA is filed under the name uncultured bacterium. RNAcentral's name for it is "bacterial SSU rRNA". It matches the Rfam family "Bacterial small subunit ribosomal RNA", at positions 40 to 1376 of the family's 1533-position model. The record is from RNAcentral.